CCCAGGGCAGGCUUCUGUCUAGUUCCUGAGGAAGCUGAGGCUGAGGCUACCGAAGGGAAGGAAACCCUUUCCCCGCCUGGAAUCUGGUUUUUCGAGGCCAGAAUGAUGAGCUUUAACGGAUCCUUCCUGAUUCUCAUUUGUUGCCCCAGUUCGUGGGCUCUCCUUUAGGAGGUGGGUGUGAACCCAGCUCCUCUUGAGACUCCCACAGCAUACGUUGAGCCUGGGGCCAGGCGAGGUGGGGGCGGGAGUACCUCUCAGUCCCUUCCUCAGAGCGGGAGGAUCUCAACAUUUUAAAUAAGGCGACCGGGAAUCAUAUUUUUGGAUGAUCCAGGACCAGGGGUGCCUAUUAUCCAUCGACCUGUAGUCGCGGGGCGCCCGUUUUGUUCCGGGCACGGGACCACCCGGGGCCACACCUUCCUCAUCAGUAGACUGAAGGGGCUGGACCUCUCCACUCAGCCUUGAGGGGCGGUUAAUUUGUGCCGGGCUCGGCCAUGAGGGCAGAAGGCAGCAAUGCCCACCCUGUCUUCUGCUGUCGCUAUGAGAUCAGAAGCAUGUCGAGUUAGUGGGAGGAUACUAGGGGAAAGGAGUAGGUUGGGAGUCUAGGCAAGGCUCCCUGCUCCUUUGAAGAAGGUGGGCUUGAAGCCAAGGAACUGAGGAGACAGGUGACCAGAGAAGAGCAUUCUGAGGCAGCCGUUGGGAGUUGGAAAUAUUUGAAGACUGAAAAAGCAGGAAGGGGCCAUUUCCUGAGAAGCUUAAAAGCUAAACAAGGGAUUUUCAUAUUGAAUCUGGAAUAUUUCUUGUGAAGAAGUUUCUUCCUCUUUUACUUCCAGACCACGAGAUAACAAUAGCUGAUGUUUGUUUAAAAUUUAGGUGUUAGAAAGCCUUUCAUGUUCUGUGUGCCUUAUUGGAGACAGGGUGGCCCUGGAGUAGGAGACUAGAAUGGUGAGAACUACAUACUAAGCCUUCCAGAAGGAUUAUAGCACCUAAAAUAUACUCUUCCUUACCCUACCUUGAUGCCUGGGGAUUGGUGGUGCCUUAAAUAUCUAAAAACCAGAAUCAAAAGAAUAAUGCUCAAGGCCAACAUUCCAGAAACUUUAGGUCAACAAGACCUUCCCUGGUGGAAGCUGGAUAUUUACAUUUCCAUAAGUGAAAAUUACAAUGUGAAUCUGUAAGAGAAAGGAAAUAAAAUCUUGGAACUUCAGGGAUUUGGAAAAAAGUUACUACUCAAGACUCAGGGGAUAAGCGUAUAUGAGUGGGACAACAGAAACAAAGACCAAUUUGCAAGUCAGGAAAACUCCAAGACAAACAUAAUAAUAAAAAAUAAUUUCAUGGAAAGAAGUUCAGAAAAGCGUCUAGAUCAACAUUUUAUCUGUCUUGGUAGAACAAAGUCUCCAAUACAUGAGAGUAAGGUGAUCUGUGAAAAUGCCAAAUGAAAGUCUCAUACAGAAAUUGUCCAGAUAUAGCGACUAAGAAAAAACUGAUGUCAAAAUCACAUGUAAGAAAAAUACUAUACAUGUUCCAUCUGUAGCACAUUUUUUUGGGGAGAAAAAUCCUCUUUAUUCAUUAGAGUUCACACAGGAGAGAAACUAUAUACAUGUGAUCAGUGUAGCAAAGACUUCCUUUGGAGAGCCUACCUCAUGUCUUAAGAGGAGAGUCAUACACAGGAGAGAAACCCUAUAAAUGUGAUGAAUGUGGUAAAGGCUUUAUUUGGAGAGCUUACCUCAGUGCUCAUCAGAGAGCCCACACAAUUGAAAAUUUAUAUACUUGUGAUCAGUGUGGAAAAGAAUUAAAAGUUACUCAAAUUUUUAAUUAAUCAGAAACUCCACACAGGUAAGAAAUCCUAUGAAUGUGAUGGAUGUGGCAAAGGCUUCAUUCGAAGAGGAUAUCUCAUUGUUCAUCAGAAAAUUCACACAGGAGAGAAACCCUAUAAAUGUUAGGAAUGUAGUAAAGACUUCAUUCAAAGAACAUACUCCAAUGUUCAAUGGAGACCACAUAGUGGAGAAACCCUAUAAAUGUGAUGAAUGUGGUAAAGGCUUCAUUCAGAAGGCUUGCCUCAGUGUUCAUCAGAUAAUCCAUACAGGUGAGAAACCAUAUACUUGUGAUGAAAAUGUGGAAGAAGAUUCUGAGAUGAUUCAAAUUUUUAUAGAUAUCAGAGACUUCACACAGGUGAGAAACCCUAUCAAUGUGAUGAAUAUGGCAAAGGCUUCAUUCAGAGGAUUCAUGUAGGGGGAAAUCUUUUGCAACUAUGAUGGAUAUGGCAAAAGCUUCAUUUACUCUGGUUACCUCAAUGUUCAUCAGAGAACCCCCUGUAGGAGAGAAACCAAAUAUGUGUGACCAGUGUGGAAGAAGAUUCAGCCAACAGUGACAUUUUAACAGACAUCAGGAGAAGUCCUAUGCUUGUGUUGAAGGUGGCAAAGGGUUCAUACAAAGAAUAACUUUUAGUGGCCCUUAGUCCACUGAAGAGAGAAACCCUAUGUAUACAGUGAUUGCACAAGAGGAUUCAGGCAGUCCUCAUAUUUUUAUAGAACUCAGAUAAUAAACAUGGUAGAUACCAUAUAAAUGUAGUCUUUUGACCAACACAUCUAGGAGAGAAUAGACUUCACUGUUUGAUGGAAAGUUCACACUAGAGAAAUAAGAAAUUUGGGAAAACCGUUACUCAGAUAUUUAUGUUUAGAGAAUGAACAUAUGAGAGAAACUGGUUAACUGUGCAUUUGUGGAAAAAAUUUUAUCCUGAACUCACCUCUUUAAUGCUCGUAAUAAAGUACACCCAGGAAUGAAAUCCUUUAUGAUA
Long non-coding RNA from Monodelphis domestica (gray short-tailed opossum), 2791 nucleotides. RefSeq lists it as uncharacterized. NCBI's taxonomy places the organism in Eukaryota, Metazoa, Chordata, Mammalia, Didelphimorphia, Didelphidae. The record is from RefSeq and is a predicted model, not a curated record.